Herpailurus yagouaroundi (jaguarundi) is the source of this 1408-nucleotide long non-coding RNA. RefSeq lists it as uncharacterized. Lineage: Eukaryota; Metazoa; Chordata; Mammalia; Carnivora; Felidae. The transcript has 4 exons. The record is from RefSeq and is a predicted model, not a curated record.
AAAUGUGUACCAAUUCUGACCAAAGAGAUGUGAGGAAAAGUUUCCUGCAGAUUUCUGGAAAGAUUUUCCUCAAAGAUAAAAAUGGGAAGCUCCGCCCUUUCUCCACCGUCCACAAAGAAUGAAGCCUAAACUCCAGUGCCACUGUUGACAAUAACCAUGAGGUCAUUCAACCUUAGGAGAAAACCACAUUGCUGGUAACCAAGUGAAAAGGGAGAAUUUCACAGUGCGAAUUUUGAACUCCGCUUGGGAACCUCUUUGAAGAUCAGCCAGAAGAUGAUGGAAGUGCAAAUAACAUGCAGAAGCUCACGGCUGUCCUUCUGUAGUUCAUGCUGAGCCGGCAGUCAUUCUCCCAACGUGACAGAAGUCAGAUUACCCUGAGCAUCAGCCUUUUACAGCACAGAACAUGGGACUUCAUUAAAUCUCAGCAUUUACAUAUUCAUGAAGUACCUGUGAGUUUGGACAGAGAAGAUGCCUAUAUCAGACAGAGUAAGGUUUGAUGGGGUAAAUAUUUAGCAUGUGGCCAAGCAUGAUGUGGCCACAGUGGGCUUCUCCCUUCUUCUGAAAGGCCUCGACACUACUAAGACAGUAGUAGGGUCGAGGCUAAGAAAGGCCUCGACACUACUCUGGGAAUACCAAAGGACAGCUUGUUGAGUGAAGUGUAAGUAUCCAGUCACUAAGGCAGUGACAUGAAGCUGAUCUCUUGAUUGAGUCCCAAACAGCUCUGCCUGAUCUCCACAUGUUCUCUCAUCUUCUUCAUAAAUACAUUUAUAUAAUUCUUCAAGUUCCACCAAAUAGACGGAGACACACACUGACAAAAAGAUCCAUCCAGUUCUUGGUGUUGUCAGCCUGCCCGUCACAUUCCAGCAACAAACGACCUUCGGGGUCUGAGGACACCUCCCAACAGUAGCACCAGCUUCGCUGCCUUGUUCCCUCUGAACCUACAAAGCCUAAAGCUCUCAGCUUAUUUUACCCUCUAGUCCCUUCGAACUUGAGUUCUAAUGUCUUGGCCAUUGGUUUCUCUCUUCAUUUGAUUUGAAUCAUACAUGCAACUAUCAAUGUCUCUUUGUCCCCCUCAACUCAUCCUCUGACCUUGUUGGUGGUAGACAACUCCCCAUGAAUCCCUCAUGUUUCUGCCCAUCUUGUGACAUCAUUUGUCUGGAAUAGCUUUUCGAGGAUGUUUGUGUAGCAAAUAGCCUUGGAAAUAUAGUAUUUCCCCUCAGUGCAGAGGGCAGAUUUCUUUGCCGUCUAAGAUAAACACAAUGGCUUUCUCCCGAACAAAGUUUGGGCAAGUCUGCUAGUGGCACUUUAAUAAGAUGGAGGGUCCUAGGCUCAUAGUUCCUUAGCUGUGCAGGUAGGGUCCUCCUGGGUCUGCUUCUGCAUCAUUCCCAUAGAGCCUGGGGCAAGGAGA